GCAAUUGAAUCCAUAGACAAAAAUGUAGAUGGGUGAUAAUUCUCUAUUGACAAGCUUGUAAUCAAGUCUUCCCCCAUCUGUUUACCCUUAUUUGCACUGCUAAUUCCUCACAGUUAAUACCCAAUUUCACUAUGUAACAUCAGCACCUACUCAAAAUCAACAAAAGCACCUCAUAACUACAAACCCCAUAUACAUAAAAACACCUUUAUACACAAAGAAAAAGGGCAGCCCGGUGAAGCUCUCGCUACGCGCUGUACCGGGGAAGGGCCGGACUACAAGGUAUAUUUGUAUGCAACCUUACCCUACAUUUCGACAAAAGGUUAUUUUCACGGCUCAAACUCGUGACCUCCUGAUCACGCGGCAGUAACUUUACCAGUUACGCCAAGGCGGACCACAAGGUCUAUUGUACGCAGCCUUACCCUGCAUUUCUGCAAGAGACGGUUUUUAUGGCUCAAACUCAUGACCUCCUGGUCAUAUAACACCAAUUUUAACAGGUAUGCCAAGAUUCCCAUUCAACUUUAUACACACUAUAUCGGAAAUAGUUCAAAAUUUUACCAUAAAAUCAAUAUAAACAAACAUGGGUAUUACCAAACAUCAGUACAGAGGAUGUUUUAUGCUAUAAAGGUGAGAUUUUUACAGACAAAAACUGUACAAUGAAGGGUUCUUGAAUUGAAUAAAACCAUAAAAAAUUGGGUAAAAAACUAUGGAAAAUAAAUCAGAAGGAUUAUUAGGAUUACCUUUACGGAGAUUAACUUAGAAUCCAAUAAGAGUUAACUGUAAAACGAUCUUUACAAAGAAUGCUCAGCAAAAAAUCGACGGCUAGAGAGAGAAAGAAGAGAGAAGGGGAAAGGGGAGAGAGAGAGUUUUGAGAUUGAGGGAAAUAAACGGUGACGGACACCGUUAACUUUGACGGCGUUAAUGUGAAACAACGAGAAGAAUCGUAACGUCUGAUAAGCAUUAAGCAGAAUCUAGUAGUGAUUCGGGGACCACGAAAUAGUUGAUGAAUGAUAAUUCGAUUAUCCAAUACGUAACUUACCUUUUCAUUCUGAUGAAGAAUCAAACAUAUGAUAAGUACCGAUCUGAAGAAGAAGAGAAAAUGAUACCAAAAACAAAAAUGUAACC
This 1122-nucleotide long non-coding RNA is filed under the name Nicotiana benthamiana. Its description in RNAcentral is "long non-coding RNA (NBEN_LNC002677)". The record is from RNAcentral. Lineage: Eukaryota; Viridiplantae; Streptophyta; Magnoliopsida; Solanales; Solanaceae.